Molecule: ribosomal RNA, 208 nt
Filed under: uncultured bacterium
Lineage: Bacteria
Description: partial 16S ribosomal RNA
Rfam family: Bacterial small subunit ribosomal RNA
Source: RNAcentral
CGGAUUGCNGUCUGCAACUCGACUGCAUGAAGCCGGAAUCGCUAGUAAUCGCGGAUCAGAAUGCCGCGGUGAAUACGUUCCCGGGUCUUGUACACACCGCCCGUCACACCAUGGGAGUCGGAAAUGCCCGAAGCCGGUGGCCUAACCGAUAAGGGAGGAGCCGUCGAAGGCAGGUCUGAUGACUGGGGUGAAGUCGUAACAAGGUAAC